UCACUUUUUUAGUUCAGAAGAUGUACAACCACUACAACAGAAUUAGGUUAUAGGGACACACGUUUGGGACACUUUUGAGUAAAUGUCCCAUUUAUACUAAAACUUAAAAAAAUAUCUAUUAAUGCCUAAAUAUAAAGCCCAAUCCAACAAAAAAUAAAAGAUUACUCUACUCAACCCACCACACCCAGUCCAUUUGGUCCGAUUACAAACAGAAAAGAAAAAAAAAAAUUCAAUUACCAUCUUUUCUUUUCUCUUCACUCAAUCUACUGAAAUUCUAGACGAAGAGCCUUUCCUGUUGUCCUCCUCCGCCACCGCAGCCAACAAGAUAGAGUUUCGGCGGUUGCUAAAUGCUUAAAUAAGUAUUGGUAAAUUAGCAGCACUCUUUUGGGUUAUAGCGACACUCUUUAACUGUCACUAUAUACCUAGCGACCCCACAUAUAGCAACACUUUUUAGAAGUGUUGGUAAUUUUAGCUAGCAGCACUUUUUUGACAUGUACCUACAUUUAAAAGUGUCGCUAUAGACCGUUUUUGUUGUAGUGAACGUACUAAAAAGGUACCUAAAUUAAGCAUAU
RNAcentral lists this long non-coding RNA (572 nucleotides) under Ananas comosus (pineapple). RNAcentral describes it as "long non-coding RNA (ACOM_LNC029358)". The record is from RNAcentral. Lineage: Eukaryota; Viridiplantae; Streptophyta; Magnoliopsida; Poales; Bromeliaceae.